UAAAGCCAAAGAUCCUCCUGGCUGUAGCACGCACUCCGAGGACACGAAGCCCCACCACGAAGGUAGCUUUACCAAUAUUUUCCUGACCCCACGAAAGCUAAGAAACAAACUGGGAUUAGAUACCCCACUAUGCUUAGCCUUAAACCUAGAUGUUACAUUUACAACCAACAUCCGCCAGGGUACUACAAGCGCUAGCUUAAAACCCAAAGGACUUGACGGUGUCUCAGACCCACCUAGAGGAGCCUGUUCUAGAACCGAUAAUCCCCGUUAAACCUCACCACCCCUUGUUUUUUCCGCCUAUAUACCGCCGUCGCAAGCUUACCCUGUGAAGGGCCCAUAGUAAGCAAGAUGGGUAAAUCCCAAAACGUCAGGUCGAGGUGUAGCUUACGAGGUGGGAAGAAAUGGGCUACAUUUUCUAUAUCAGAAUAAUACGAACAGCAUUAUGAAAUUAGUGCUCGAAGGUGGAUUUAGUAGUAAAAAACAAAUAGAGAGUCUUUUUGAACCAGGCUCUGAGACGCGCACACACCGCCCGUCACUC
RNAcentral lists this ribosomal RNA (538 nucleotides) under Planaltina myersi. RNAcentral describes it as "partial small subunit ribosomal RNA". It matches the Rfam family "Bacterial small subunit ribosomal RNA", at positions 657 to 1402 of the family's 1533-position model. The record is from RNAcentral. Lineage: Eukaryota; Metazoa; Chordata; Actinopteri; Characiformes; Stevardiidae.